RNAcentral lists this ribosomal RNA (497 nucleotides) under uncultured bacterium. Its description in RNAcentral is "partial 16S ribosomal RNA". It matches the Rfam family "Bacterial small subunit ribosomal RNA", at positions 28 to 507 of the family's 1533-position model. The record is from RNAcentral.
GAUGAACGCUGGCGGCGUGCCUAAUACAUGCAAGUCGAGCGAACAGACGAGGAGCUUGCUCCUCUGACGUUAGCGGCGGACGGGUGAGUAACACGUGGAUAACCUACCUAUAAGACUGGGAUAACUUCGGGAAACCGGAGCUAAUACCGGAUAAUAUAUUGAACCGCAUGGUUCAAUAGUGAAAGACGGUUUUGCUGUCACUUAUAGAUGGAUCCGCGCCGCAUUAGCUAGUGGGUAAGGUAACGGCUUACCAAGGCGACGAUGCGUAGCCGACCUGAGAGGGUGAUCGGCCACACUGGAACUGAGACACGGUCCAGACUCCUACGGGAGGCAGCAGUAGGGAAUCUUCCGCAAUGGGCGAAAGCCUGACGGAGCAACGCCGCGUGAGUGAUGAAGGUCUUCGGAUCGUAAAACUCUGUUAUUAGGGAAGAACAAAUGUGUAAGUAACUAUGCACGUCUUGACGGUACCUAAUCAGAAAGCCACGGCUAACUACGUG